This 2051-nucleotide ribosomal RNA is filed under the name Gemmatimonadota bacterium. Its description in RNAcentral is "Gemmatimonadetes bacterium (sponge metagenome) partial 23S ribosomal RNA". It matches the Rfam family "Bacterial large subunit ribosomal RNA", at positions 1 to 1976 of the family's 2925-position model. Lineage: Bacteria; Pseudomonadati; Gemmatimonadota. The record is from RNAcentral.
AAUCAAGCAAGUAAGGGCACAAGGUGGAUGUCUUGGUACGGACUGGCGAAGAAGGACGUGGCAAGCUGCGAUAAGCCGGGGGGAGCUGCACGCGAGCUUUGAUCCCUGGAUUUCCGAAUGGGGGAACCCGGCCGGGGUGAUGCCCGGUCAUCCCGUGGUUGAACACAUGGACCGCGGGAAGCGAACCGAGGGAACUGAAACAUCUAAGUACCUCGAGGAAGAGAGAACAACCGUUAUUCCCUAAGUAGCGGCGAGCGAACGGGGAACAGCCCAAACCGUCGUGGUGUCAAGGCGGCAGCCGUUGCCGUGACGGGGUAGUAGGAGCAGUUCGCUGGGAGUCUGCCGGCUCCCGGAGUCAGUGUGUCGAGAAGCCGAAUACGGCUGGAAAGCCGAGCCACAGAGGGUGAUGGCCCCGUAGGCGUAACCGACACACCCAGGCUCAGAACCGUUUCCUGAGUAUGCCGGGACACGAGAAAUCCCGGUUGAAUCUGGCAGGACCACCUGUCAAGGCUAAAUACACGUCCGUGACCGAUAGUGAACGAGUACCGUGAGGGAAAGAUGAAAAGUACGCCGGGAGGCGGGUGAAAUAGAUCCUGAAACCGUGUGCCUACAAGCAGUGGGAGUCUUGGUGCCUUCUUCGGAAGGACAUCGGGAUGACCGCGUGCCUUUUGCAUUAUGAUCCGGCGAGUUAGUCCUCUGUAGCAAGGUUAAGCCGUUCAGCGGCGCAGCCGUAGCGAAAGCGAGUCCUAACCGGGCGCACAGUUGCAGGGGCUAGACCCGAAACCAGUGUGAUCUAUCCAUGGCCAGGUUGAAGCGCGGGUAAUGCCGCGUGGAGGACCGAACCGUUGUGGGUUGAAAACCGCUCGGAUGAGCUGUGGAUAGGGGUGAAAGGCCAAUCAAACCUGGAGAUAGCUGGUUCUCCCCGAAAGAUAUUUAGGUAAGAGCACUGGAAGCGCUAGGGCCCUCAACCGGGUACCAAACGCUACUAAACUCCGAAUGCCCGUUAGUCGGUCUCAGGGAGGAAGUGCACGUGCGAUAAUGUUCGUGCGCGAGAGGGAAAGAACCCAGACCUUCAGCUAAGGCCCCGAAGUGCUGGCUAAGUGAUAAAGGCGGUGGAUUUGCGGAGACAACUGGGAGGUUGGCUUAGAGGCAGCCAUCCUUGAAAGAGUGCGUAAUAGCUCACCAGUCAAGCGGGUCUGCACCGACAAUGGUCGGGACUAAAGCCAGCCGCCGAAGCUAAGGCUGUUCUCUGCGCUUGUCGCAGAGGGCGGGGUAGGGGAGCGUUGCCUGAGCUGCGAAGCGGGACCGCGAGGUUCCCCGUGGAGCGCAGGCAAGUGAGAAUGCCGGAAUGAGUACGCGAUAAACAAGGUGAGAACCCUUGUCGCCGUAAGCCCAAGGUUUCCUGAGCCAUGUCGAUCAGCUCAGGGUUAGUCGGCCCCUAAGGUGAGGUCGAAAGGCGUAGCCGAUGGAAAACGGGUCAACAUUCCCGUACCACACGUGUUGCGCUUGAGUCCGCGGAGGGACGCAGAAGUGACAGAUCCGUCGUCUGAGGAGGACGAUGCAAGGAGGUAGGCGUUUCCGGGUAGGCAAAUCCGCCUGGUUAAGCCGAGAUCCGACGCCGAAGAGGUCUUCGGACCUCGCCAAGGGAUCGUAAUCAUGCUGCCAAGAAAAGCUUCGCGAACGAGCAAUCCGUGUGACCGUACCGAUAACCGACACAGGUGGGCGAGGCGAGUAGCCUCAGGCGCUCGAGUGAUUCUUGGUCAAGGAACUCGGCAAAAUGUCCCCGUAACUUCGGGAGAAGGGGAGCCAGGAGUAGGUGAACGCCCUAGCGGCGGGAGCCGAAACAGGCCGCAGAGAAUCGGCCCAAGCGACUGUUUAGUAAAAACAUAGGUGUCUGCUAAGUCGUCCAGACGACGUAUAGGCACUGACGCCUGCCCGGUGCCGGAAGGUUAAGUGGAGGGGUCAGCCGCAAGGCGAAGCUCUGAAAUGAAGCCCCGGUAAACGGCGGCCGUAACUAUAACGGUCCUAAGGUAGCGAAAUUCCUUGUCGGG